This 468-nucleotide ribosomal RNA is filed under the name uncultured bacterium. RNAcentral's name for it is "partial 16S ribosomal RNA". It matches the Rfam family "Bacterial small subunit ribosomal RNA", at positions 28 to 507 of the family's 1533-position model. The record is from RNAcentral.
GAUGAACGCUGGCGGCGUGCUUAACACAUGCAAGUCGAACGGUGAAGGCGGAGCUUGCUCUGCUGGAUCAGUGGCGAACGGGUGAGUAACACGUGAGCAAUCCGCCCCUGACACUGGGAUAAGCGCUGGAAACGGCGUCUAAUACUGGGUACGAGCUGCGAAGCCAUCUUCAGCAGCUGGAAAGAACUUCGGUCAGGGCUAGGCUCGCGGCCUAUCAGCUUGUUGGUGAAGUAACGGCUCACCAGGGCUUCGACGGCUAGCCGGCCUGGGAGCGGUACCGGCGACCCGGGGACUGCGACACGGCCCAGACUGCUACCGGAGGCAGCAGUGGAGAACAUUGCACAAUGGGCGAGAGCCUGAUGCAGCAGCGCCGGGUGAGGGACGACGGCUUUCGGGUUGUAAACCUCUUUUAGCAGGGAAGAAGCGAAAGUGACGGUACCUGCAGAAAAAGCGCCGGCUAACUACGUG